GUGUGAGAAGAAAGGAAGGAGGAGGUCCCGAGUAGCAGCUGCCAAAAUGUACCUAUGUGAAAGCCUGGCAGCAGGUGCUUUGAAGCAGAAGCUGGCGCCCUUGGUAUGGACUGUGUGCAUCCGAGGCCUGAGGCAAAGGAAUCGGCUUCCAGUUGUGCAGUGUUAUCACCUAGGCUCCCCUUCUAGAUCACUAGCAUCCGCAGGUGCUUCUGGGAAAGAUGGCAGCAGACUAGUGUACUUCUUAAUUAUAGGAGCAACAGUCACUGGAGCAGGAGUUUAUUAUGCCUACAAGUUUAUAAAAAGUGACCAAAAAAGAUAUAAUGAAAGAAUUUCAGGAUUAAGGCUGACACCUGAAGAGAAACAGAAGAGGGCCACAUUAUCUGCUCCGGAAGGAGAGCCAGUUGUUCAAGUCAGGGUACCAAAACUGUGGUUUUCAGAUGAUCCAAAUGUCACAAAGACACUGCGAUUCAGGCAGUGGAAUGUAAAAGAGAGAAACAUAUAUUUCCAGCCACCUUCUUUCUAUGUCUCUGCUCAGGACCUGCCUCACAUUGAGAAUGGUGGUGUGGCUGUCCUCACUGGGAAGAAGGUAGUACAUGUAGAUGUGAGAGGCAACAUGGUGAAACUUAAUGAUGGCUCUCAAAUAACCUAUGAAAAGUGCUUGAUUGCAACAGGAGACACUCCCAGAACUCUGUCUGCCAUUGAUAGGGCUGGAGCAGAGGUGAAGAGUAGAAAAACACUUUUCAGAAAGAUUGGAGACUUUAGAACCUUAGAGAAGAUUUACCGGGAAGUCAAGUCGAUUACGAUUAUCGGUGGGGGCUUCCUUGGUAGUGAACUGGCCUGUGCUCUUGGCAGAAAAGCUCAAGCCUCAGGCACCGAAGUGAUUCAACCCUUCCCUGCGAACGGAAAUAUGGGAAAGGUCCUCCCUGAAUACCUCAGCAAUUGGACCAUGGAAAAAGUCAGACGAGAGGGGGUGAAGGUGCUGCCCAAUGCCAUUGUGCAAUCAGUUGGAGUCAGUGGUGGCAGGUUACUCAUCAAGCUGAAAGAUGGCCGGAAGGUAGAAACUGACCACAUAGUUGCAGCUGUGGGCAUAGAGCCCAAUGUUGAGUUGGCUAAGACUGGUGGACUAGAAAUAGACUCAGAUUUUGGUGGCUUCCUGGUAAAUGCAGAGCUCCAAGCACACUUUAACAUCUGGGUGGCAGGAGAUGCUGCAUGCUUCUAUGAUAUAAAAUUGGGUAGGAGGCGGGUAGAGCACCAUGAUCAUGCUGUUGUGAGCGGAAGAUUGGCUGGAGAAAAUAUGACUGGAGCUGCUAAGCCAUACUGGCAUCAGUCAAUGUUCUGGAGCAAUUUGGGCCCUGAUGUUGGCUAUGAAGCUACUGGUCUUGUGGAUAAUAGUUUGCCCACGGUUGAUGUCUUUGCAAAACCGUCUGCACAAGAUAACCCGAAAUCUGCCACAGAGCAGUCAGGGACUGGUAUUCGAUCAGAGAGUGAGACAGAGUCAGAAGCCACAGAAAUCCCUGUUCUUCCAAGUAACCCUCGGGUCCUCCAGGUCCCUGUUGAAGGGGAGGGCUAUGGGAAAGGUGUUAUCUUCUACCUCAGGGACAAAGUGGUGGUGGGGAUUGUGCUGUGGAACAUCUUCAACUGAAUGCCGAUAGCAAGGAAGAUCAUUAAGGAUGGUGAGCAACAUGAAGAUCUAAAUGAAGUAGCUAAAAUAUUCAACAUUCAUGAAGACUGAAGCCCCCCAGUGGGAUAAGCAAGCUCUUUGCUCUCCCUGACAGCAGUUUGAAUGACUAAAGAAGCAUUUUUUUAUUCCUCUGAGUGUAUGAAUGUGAAUGAAUGAUCAUGUCCCUUGUGAAUAUUUCAGCGAUGUAGGCAUAUUUUUAAUGUUCACAUCACUAAAUAAAACCUGAUUCUUCUA
Myotis davidii is the source of this 1915-nucleotide RNA transcript. It is a transcript of the gene named apoptosis-inducing factor 1, mitochondrial pseudogene, with no coding region annotated. NCBI's taxonomy places the organism in Eukaryota, Metazoa, Chordata, Mammalia, Chiroptera, Vespertilionidae. The transcript is spliced from 2 exons. The record is from RefSeq and is a predicted model, not a curated record.